CAAUAGUUAAAACUUUCAACAACGGAUCUCUUGGUUCUGGCAUCGAUGAAGAACGCAGCGAAAUGCGAUAAGUAAUGUGAAUUGCAGAAUUCAGUGAAUCAUCGAAUCUUUGAACGCACAUUGCGCCCCUUGGUAUUCCGGGGGGCAUGCCUGUUCGAGCGUCAUUAC
This 168-nucleotide ribosomal RNA is filed under the name Dermea sp. 'prunastri'. Its description in RNAcentral is "Dermea prunastri 5.8S ribosomal RNA". It matches the Rfam family "5.8S ribosomal RNA". From Rfam's summary of the family: 5.8S ribosomal RNA (5.8S rRNA) is a component of the large subunit of the eukaryotic ribosome. It is transcribed by RNA polymerase I as part of the 45S precursor that also contains 18S and 28S rRNA. Lineage: Eukaryota; Fungi; Ascomycota; Leotiomycetes; Helotiales; Dermateaceae. The record is from RNAcentral.